Molecule: ribosomal RNA, 422 nt
Filed under: Verrucomicrobiota bacterium
Lineage: Bacteria; Pseudomonadati; Verrucomicrobiota
Description: Verrucomicrobia bacterium partial 16S ribosomal RNA
Rfam family: Bacterial small subunit ribosomal RNA
Source: RNAcentral
UGGGGAAUUUUGCACAAUGGGCGCAAGCCUGAUGCAGCGACGCCGCGUGAGGGAUGAAGGCCUUCGGGUUGUAAACCUUUUUCGCUCAUGGUCAAGCCGCAGCUUUGGGUUGUGGUGAGGGUAGUGGGUAAAGAAGCGCCGGCUAACUACGUGCCAGCAGCCGCGGUAAUACGUAGGGCGCGAGCGUUGUCCGGAAUUAUUGGGCGUAAAGGGCUUGUAGGCGGUUGGCCGCGUCUGCCGUGAAAACCUCUGGCUUAACUGGGGGCGUGCGGUGGGUACGGGUUGACUUGAGUGCGGUAGGGGAGACUGGAAUUCCUGGUGUAGCGGUGGAAUGCGCAGAUAUCAGGAGGAACACCGGUGGCGAAGGCGGGUCUCUGGGCCGUUACUGACGCUGAGGAGCGAAAGCGUGGGGAGCGAACAGG